CCUGAAGAGUGAGCUCGAGGUGGGAGCCUUGGCCCCUGAGGCUGGGGAGUCUCCGUCUCAGUAAAGAGGAGUGCAUGCUAUUGGGAUGAGCAGCAGAGCCCGGGCCCAGAUGGCUCCUGUUUCCUGGGGGAUCCUGGGGCUGUCCCUGCAGGGCCAGCACCAUCCUGUGUGUUCUCUUCCAGGCUGCUGACUUGGACCCCUGUGAGCCGGAGCGUGUGGGCCAUGGAUUCUAAGGUCAGCAACGGUUCCAGCCUCCAGGACGAGCGCAUCACAAACCUACUGGUGUUUGG
RNAcentral lists this long non-coding RNA (290 nucleotides) under Sus scrofa (pig). Its description in RNAcentral is "lncRNA (ENSSSCG00070010737.1)". Lineage: Eukaryota; Metazoa; Chordata; Mammalia; Artiodactyla; Suidae. The record is from RNAcentral.